This is an RNA transcript of Saccostrea cuccullata (small rock oyster), 1125 nucleotides long. RefSeq lists it as uncharacterized. The transcript has 4 exons. Lineage: Eukaryota; Metazoa; Mollusca; Bivalvia; Ostreida; Ostreidae. The record is from RefSeq and is a predicted model, not a curated record.
UUUUUUUUUCAUCAGUUCAUAAAAAUCAAGAUAUACAACACGUGUGAUACUCAAUAAGUAUUUUACGUCAGGAAGUAUAUAAAUACGUGUGACAAAAUCCUCUUUACUGCAUUCAAGAGUGGGAAGAGAAUCAUUUUAUGAAAGGAUCUAAAGCAGCGUGAUAAAAUCACUAAAAUGUCAUGUGGAGGUCAUUCCACCUUCUUCAGAUUUGGCUGUCUAUUCCUCCUCAUGGCUCUUAUACUGGACGUUAUAGGUGUAGCUGCGCCAUAUUGGAUCUAUGGCGAGGCUAAUGGCUUGAAAGUAUAUGCAGGACUCUGGAAACAGUGUCUUUCCGCCAAUACCCCUGACCUAAAAAUUUCCAAAUGCACUGAGUAUGGCGAUGUCCCAGGUAACAAUUAAUUAAAAAUUGGUUUAAAUCAGUUCGAGCAUCUGGACUGCUUGGGAUUUUUAUUUCGGUCAUUGCUCUUAUUUCUGCCAUCCUCAAGAUACGUUUCAAGGACCGAGUCUUCGUGCUAAUCAUUGUGAUCAUCUUGUCCUUUUUGAGUGCUGUGUGCACCAUGGUGUCCAUUGCUGUUUACGCAGGAAAAUAUCAUGCAUCGGAAAAAUACAGCAGUUUUGUCAAAUUCAGCUUUGCAUUUGCUUUUUGUGCAGUUUCCAUCGUUCUCUCGGCCAUAGCUGGAAUUUGCAUGAUUAUUGAAUUGUCAAAGAGGUCAUCUUACACUACAAUAGUUGGGCGCUGAGAAAACACCAAUUUAGGACUGCCGUAAUGAAAAAAAAUACUCAAUGUUUUACAUAUAUGAGGACUGUCCAAAAAGUCUAUUACAAUGUUCAUAACGUUAUAAACAUUCAACAAAUUCAUUCAAUACAAUCAAAUUUGGCAUGACCAUAACAAAUUCAAUAUGUUCCUGAUAAUAGGGAAUUCUAAAGGACAUACGCAAUUUUAAUGCCUUUUUCCCUGGAGUUGAAAAGUUCCAAUAUCUAAGGAAACUGUCUGCUACAUUUUAUUGUCCAUAUGAUUAUGUAUGUUAAUUAUAAUUAUGGAUUCAUUCUAUCUAUUCCCACUUUUUGAAAAUCAUGUAGAAAAAGGUAAGAUUUUAUAUGAGAAUAGGUGUAAUUUUGUGUAAA